RNAcentral lists this long non-coding RNA (1039 nucleotides) under Cricetulus griseus (Chinese hamster). Its description in RNAcentral is "lncRNA (ENSCGRG00015032348.1)". Lineage: Eukaryota; Metazoa; Chordata; Mammalia; Rodentia; Cricetidae. The record is from RNAcentral.
GAUGGGUUUUCUUUUCUUUUCUUUUCCUUUUUUUUUUUUUUUUUUAUUAAGUGCCAGCUUUUCAUCUCUUGGUGAACGGGGUGAGCUUACCAUUGUCCUGGCCACACUGAGCCUGCCUCUGUUUCCCAUAGGGAGCUGAGAUCAACAUCUACUGCAGAGUGACAGAAAGCUGUGCCUCCAGUGGACUUUACCUGCAUUUUGUCCUGCCAUCUCUGCUAUGCAGAAAAUCCUGGCCACACCUGAGCCUAGGUCCAUGCGAUGGUCAGAUCCUGGAGGUGCUGAGAACUACAGGAGAGCACCACCACGCUGCUUAUGUGGUGCUGGGAAUUGAAGCCAGGACUCCCUGCAUGCCAGUCAUGUGCUGAUCUGCAGUCUACAAUCUUCACUAAGGCCCAGUCCUUUCUCAGAAUUCUACAUGAGGCAGCAGGAAGUCAAGGGACUUUAUAACUUGAUCGUACCAGAUGAUGGCAGUAGAGCUCCACACAAGUUCCCAGCCCUUCCUGGUGUUGGUCCCUGUUUCUUUGGUUCCUUCUGCCUUCUGAAUAAAGUGGAAGCACAGAAGUGGUCUCCAUUUAAGUUCACAAUGUAACUUAUGGAGAGAGAGUUUGCAGCAGUGAAGAACACGGAUUCUGCACUGGUCACAUCUUAGCUGUGACUUUUUGUUUCUUUAAAGUGUUGCUAAUAUUAUAUGUUUUAAAAGCUAACUGAAAAUAUUAGAAUAUAAAAAUAUACAAAUAGGUUGUGGUAAGAAAAUCAGCAUUACGGAAUUUCCCUGAUCAAUAAAUUAUACAAGUUAUUUGUUAAUUCUCCUGCUACCCAUGGCAAUUUAAAAGUCCACAAAAUUAAUCUCAAUAUUUCUUUUCCCAUGAACGAAAUACAAAUAAAAUAGGAAUGAGAGAGACAAUCUAGCAGACUCUCGUUUAACUCACUCACUGAUGCCUGUGGCUUCAGAGCAAGGACACAGUGGCACUAGUCUUUAGAACAGGAGAGACAUGUGCCAUCCCUUCUUCUGGAUGGGAUCGGGUAUGGUAUUGCAAAG